Molecule: ribosomal RNA, 764 nt
Filed under: uncultured Streptococcus sp.
Lineage: Bacteria; Bacillati; Bacillota; Bacilli; Lactobacillales; Streptococcaceae
Description: bacterial SSU rRNA
Rfam family: Bacterial small subunit ribosomal RNA
Source: RNAcentral
GACGAACGCUGGCGGCGUGCCUAAUACAUGCAAGUAGAACGCUGAAGGAGGAGCUUGCUCUUUCCGGAUGAGUUGCGAACGGGUGAGUAACGCGUAGGUAACCUGCCUGGUAGCGGGGGAUAACUAUUGGAAACGAUAGCUAAUACCGCAUAACAGUAGAUAUCGCAUGAUAGCUGCUUGAAAGGUGCAACUGCACCACUACCAGAUGGACCUGCGUUGUAUUAGCUAGUUGGUGAGGUAACGGCUCACCAAGGCAACGAUACAUAGCCGACCUGAGAGGGUGAUCGGCCACACUGGGACUGAGACACGGCCCAGACUCCUACGGGAGGCAGCAGUAGGGAAUCUUCGGCAAUGGACGGAAGUCUGACCGAGCAACGCCGCGUGAGUGAAGAAGGUUUUCGGAUCGUAAAGCUCUGUUGUAAGAGAAGAACGAGUGUGAGAGUGGAAAGUUCACACUGUGACGGUAUCUUACCAGAAAGGGACGGCUAACUACGUGCCAGCAGCCGCGGUAAUACGUAGGUCCCGAGCGUUGUCCGGAUUUAUUGGGCGUAAAGCGAGCGCAGGCGGUUAGAUAAGUCUGAAGUUAAAGGCUGUGGCUUAACCAUAGUACGCUUUGGAAACUGUUUAACUUGAGUGCAAGAGGGGAGAGUGGAAUUCCAUGUGUAGCGGUGAAAUGCGUAGAUAUAUGGAGGAACACCGGUGGCGAAAGCGGCUCUCUGGCUUGUAACUGACGCUGAGGCUCGAAAGCGUGGGGAGCAAACAGG